AGGAUCUACUAGGUGCCAGACAAAAAUGCUAUGAUAUAGAAUAUAGCAUUUAAAAGGAUAGUUAUAGUCCCUCUCUCCAACAAACUUGUAAUAGUCCACUACUUCAUCACCUCGAAUAAGGCACAGAAAUUAUGGUGGCAUGUUUGACUAUUUGGGACAAAAUCAAAAAUACGAAUAUAUCAAAGGUGGAGGCCUGAAUUGGUAUCAUGGACAAUUCAAUCACUGGACAAGGGAUUUGUUGGGAUAUCCCCAACUCUAAAUGUUAACUUGUGCACAGUGAGAAUAUCAGGAGGAGUUAAACAGACUAGCAAUUAUUCAAAAUUUGUUAGUGGCUUAUACAACCUGCUUUUAAAAUGUCCUUCACAGACUGGAUUAAGAAAAUGUGGCACAUAUACACCAUGGAAUACUAUGCAGCCAUAAAAAAGGAUGAGUUUGCGUCCUUUGUAGGGACAUGGAUGCAGCUGGAA
Long non-coding RNA from Rhinopithecus roxellana (golden snub-nosed monkey), 467 nucleotides. RefSeq lists it as uncharacterized. NCBI's taxonomy places the organism in Eukaryota, Metazoa, Chordata, Mammalia, Primates, Cercopithecidae. The transcript has 4 exons. The record is from RefSeq and is a predicted model, not a curated record.